Long non-coding RNA from Gorilla gorilla gorilla (western lowland gorilla), 386 nucleotides. RefSeq lists it as uncharacterized. The transcript has 2 exons. The record is from RefSeq and is a predicted model, not a curated record. Lineage: Eukaryota; Metazoa; Chordata; Mammalia; Primates; Hominidae.
AAUCAGCUGAGCCAUGUUGGCAAUCCGGAUUCCACCCAGAUGCCACAGGUUUCAGGAAUGGAGUCUGCCACUUAUUCAUUCUAACUUGACGUGCCAGUCAUCAGCAGACUUGAGCACUCUCAGGCAAAUAACAGCAAGAGGAGAGAAAUCUGAAAUCUGAGGUGCAGUUGAUUUGAAUCCAGGAAAUCUAAGGAAAAAGUUCAAGCUCUUAAUCAUUUCAUACUCUCCUUGUUGCUAACUUAAACUUUUUUUUUAAAAAAGUUAAUCUUGUCUAUGAAGCAUGAAUCUAUAAUACUAGGGAAAAAACUGGCUAACUUGAAGAAAAAAUAAAUUGAAAUGAAAAGCAAUUAAUUCCUCUUAAUAUGAAUAAAGGAUGAUCUAAAUGC